GACGAACGCUGGCGGCGUGCCUAAUACAUGCAAGUAGAACGCUGAAGGAGGAGCUUGCUUCUCUGGAUGAGUUGCGAACGGGUGAGUAACGCGUAGGUAACCUGCCUGGUAGCGGGGGAUAACUAUUGGAAACGAUAGCUAAUACCGCAUAAGAGUAGAUGUCGCAUGACAUUUGCUUAAAAGGUGCAAUUGCAUCACUACCAGAUGGACCUGCGUUGUAUUAGCUAGUUGGUGAGGUAACGGCUCACCAAGGCAACGAUACAUAGCCGACCUGAGAGGGUGAUCGGCCACACUGGGACUGAGACACGGCCCAGACUCCUACGGGAGGCAGCAGUAGGGAAUCUUCGGCAAUGGACGGAAGUCUGACCGAGCAACGCCGCGGGGGUGAAGAAGGUUUUCGGAUCGGAAAGCUCUGUUGUAAGAGAAGAACGAGUGUGAGAGUGGAAAGUUCACACUGUGACGGUAUCUUACCAGAAAGGGACGGCUAACUACGUG
This 495-nucleotide ribosomal RNA is filed under the name uncultured bacterium. Its description in RNAcentral is "partial 16S ribosomal RNA". It matches the Rfam family "Bacterial small subunit ribosomal RNA", at positions 28 to 507 of the family's 1533-position model. The record is from RNAcentral.